AUGAGGAGGAGGAAGCCUGAACAGAAAUUCCUGAAAGGGCUAAGAGAGACUCCCCAACACAGCCAAGCCUUUCCAAAAGCCAGGAGGAGGAGAGAGGACUCCGACUCCGGCCACAGGCCCAGGGCAACGUGCUGGGCCCCGGAGCGUCCUGCUCCCUGGGGCCCCAGGGUAGGUGCGGCCCAGCUCACCCCAGCUCACGGUCACAGGCUCACAUGCAGCUCUCACACAGCAGCAGCCAAGGCCCAGGCAGGAACCACAGGCAGGGCCUGGGGAACAUCUCUGCCCCCUCCCAGGCCCCGUCUGUACUCGCCUAGCUAAAAAGAGCCACUCUCGUCAUUAGCAGUGUAAAAACGACACCUUCCCUCUCAGUUUGGAUCUGGCCUGGCACACAGGGUCACUGCUGAGUCACCUGUGACUUGGGGGUAGGGACCAGGGAGGGUGGACACAGUUGAGUCAGAGGCAGGUCUGUGGGCAGCAAUGUCUGCCUCUCCCCCAAAGGGAGUGAGGGCUGCCCUCCAGGGACAACCUGGGCAGGGAGAGAAGGGCCCAGACCUGCCAGGCCACCAGGAGCACUCUCUACCUGGGGAGUAGCUAGGCAAAGGACAAAUGCAUCUGGCCUGUCUGUGCUGCAGAGCGGGGCAAGGCCACCAAAGCAUCAAAGGGAAAUGGCCCCAAAACCGGCUCUCUCUAGAGGAAAGCCGACCAGCAAGCUGGGGUUGAAGUGUGCUGUUCUCGCCUCCUGUGCAACAGCAACUGGCAAAGCCCACUCUAUGGGCCCAGAUGAGCCGGCAGCAUGAGAAGGCUGUGAGAUUUCUGAUGCACAGAUGUAGAAGCUCUGAGGGGCUCUGAGAAACUUGAACCAAAACACAAAAGGGGCGUGUGUGACGGUGGUGUCUGCACUCCCUGGCGUGGUCUGCAGGAGACAGAAGCACCCUGGGUCUGCUGAUGCCAGGGUUCUCUCAGACCCUACUUCAGCAACUGGAGAGGCGUGGACAUUUAAACCUUUUAGGAGGCCCUCAGGCCUCUCUGCUCCACACGGAAGUCAGCAGCCCUCUCUGCUCUGGCUGGCUUCUCCAAGGCACCUCCUGGCCCCACCUAGGGCUCGGGGCAGGACUCUCUCGUGCAGUGAGCCAGCGGGGUACUAACUGGGCUCACUUCUGACAGUACCGCUCCCAGCAUGCGCUCGGCUUCCAGCCCCAGAGACCAACACUGCUAAGUAGGAUAAGGGAUCCGGAGCCCUCGAUGGCACCCUCCACUCGGCAGCCUGCUCCCGCACCACUCCAACCCCUCCCGCUCCUCACCACGCAAACCUGCCUGCCAACACAGCAGGGGCCACAGAAAGCUGCCACCAGAGCCACCACAGGGAUAUGUAAUGGGCCCAGCCAGGCCUAAGGGCCCAUCACAGGGAGACGCAAGAAAGGGAGCAGGUGACAGAAGCACGGCGGCUCCCUCCACAAAGCUGCGGCCCCCGCAGGGCUCCCUCCCUGGUGAAGAGUUCCAGGACCACAGCGGGAGGGGCAUAAAGAGCCAAACACACCCGGUCCCCUCGGCCACAGCAGGACCAGCACACAGUUGGGGCAGGGCGGGCGCAUGGUUCGGACUGAUGCUAGGAAAAACUGGUGACACCAGGUCUGUCCACUAGUCUGGGCGGGACUGGGUUGACGUGCAUGGAGCUGGGUCCCCACGGCAACGAGGGCACACGGAGGCCUCCACGGAGCACAGAGAGCAAGCAAAGCGACCCUGAAUUCCUUUGUGUUUGUUACUGGUUUUGUUCUUUGUGUGGUUGGGUGUUUUUUUUCUUCUUUUCUUUUAAAUAAAAAUGCUGCAAGGUUUCCGCC
Homo sapiens (human) is the source of this 1838-nucleotide long non-coding RNA. The record is from Ensembl. NCBI's taxonomy places the organism in Eukaryota, Metazoa, Chordata, Mammalia, Primates, Hominidae.